CCCCAAGCAGAGGCACCUCCCCACGCAGCACCGCGACCCAGCUGUUCCGCCAUUCUCUACCAGCCCACAUCCUCAAGCACCCGUUUCCUCCUCCAGGGAGCUCCUUCUCCCGGCAGCACCUUCUCCUCCACUAGCCUCCUCUACGCACUUGGACUAUGCAUCUAAGGAACAAUGGUCUUAAUUCCCUACCACCGUCCUUAUUCAAGAAGUGCUGGCGGCUUACUACACUUGAUCUCCAUGGCACUAGAAUUACAAACGACAUUCUUCGACAGCAUGCCUCCUAUUCAUCCUCUGCACCAAGCAGCGACGUGUCGACUAAGUCAUCUUCCCUGGAUAGCGCCGCCCUCAAGUAUUGUCGCCUCAACACUACUUCCUCGCCUGAGCAGUUCUUCCUCCGCUUCAUCACCCGAGCAGCACCGCCUCCUCUACUUCUCAACCAAUGGAGUUUGUUUGUGUCUCGUGAAGUCUGAUUUACUCAGCAAGGAUUAUGAUGUAUAAUGUUUAUCAGGACCAUGGUAGUCCAUUGGCAAAAGCUACCAUUCUAUGAGUAUAUUUGAAGUGCUGGUAUUUGCUUCUCAAGAUGGCUUUGGUAACACUGUGAAAUAUAUCUUUGACUUGCGGAUCUCCAGUGACUGAAUAUACUUCAAACUUUGGAAGAUGCAUAAAAACUGAAGGUCCGUCUAGGUUGUUAUCCAUGAUUUGAGAAUUUUGGUACUAGUCCUUGCUUCACUGGUUGUAUGUGGUAUUCUCUUUGCUGGACUACUAUUGGGCAUGGGGCUAUCAGCUGUGGCUUUUUAUGUUAUCCUUCCAGAGUUGUACCAAGCCCUACCACUUCUUCGGCCACCAAUGUUGUUUGUCCACCCGCCAUCCCUGUCCAGCAUCUAUCUCGCGCUUACCGGUGCACAACUUCCAGGGAGUCCGGGGUGACAAGAUUGAUGGCAUUGGCUCCAACGUCAUAGCGUCCUGCCGCCUCAGAUGCUGGUUGACCUUAGCGGCUUAGCCCAAUAUGGUUAACUAAAUCAACAACAAGCAGAGCUGGAAGUCGUUUUCGUUGCAACUGUCGAUGUUGGGUCCUAGCCAGAAGAAUCUUCAGUGAAACAGAUUGCAGGCCCAGAAAAAAAAUCAAAGUGGCAGCCCACCGCCUGCAGGACUUUAAUUUUCAAAGAAUAAAUGCAUGGAUCACAUGUAAGCUACUGACUGUCGGUGCAAUUGUCAGAAGGCAGGCUUCAAUCUUAUGCCAGCAGGAAGAGUGACUUGGAGGGGUGGUGCCGGCAGGAAAAGGGUGACGAGCAGGAAGGGGAAGGAGAGCUGUAGCAACAUCGCUUCCAUUUUACUCCCUCCGUUCCGAUUUAUACCUCGUUUAAGCAAUCUUAGUUCAAUUUAUUUCAUGUUACAGACUUUCUUCACUUUCCCAAAUUACCCUCCCACUCGCACGACUCCACCGACCGUAGCAGUCGCUCUUUCCUCACCCACUCGCUCUCUCCCAGCCCACUCGCUCUCUUCCUCUUCCACUGCGCUUCCCGUCCCUGUCUCUUGCUGACGCCUACGUGCUCCUCGCUCUUGCCAGCGCCACAGCUGGUCGCAGCCACAGCAUAGUGGGCGAGAUGAAAGGUCUCUUUUUUUGUGGCUGCACAUAUCCGUGGGCGGCGGUGAUGGAUCUGUUAGCGUCCGCGACGGCGGUGACGGUGGAGAAAGAAGGCGCGAAGGCAGCGAAGGGGGAGCACGGUGGUGGUGUACUCGCACGGUGAAGCUAAGAUGCCUUCACCUCCGUCUUCUCGCGGAUCGCGUGCCGCUGUACGUCUCGCGCGCACCCGCCCGCCCGGGUUGACCCCUCUCAGGUUUCUACUAGCCUGGGAGAUCUGCCGGCAAGGAACCUGGGACUCCAGCUGCUGCUUGUGGCGGCGAGGAGAAGCAGCAACGGCCAGGAGAUCUCCCAGGUUCUGCUAGCCUGGGUGGCAGGAACCUGGGGCCCCGGCUGCUGCUUGUGGUGGCUAGGAGAAGCAGCCACGGCGAAACCUGGGAGAUCUGCUGGGUGAGGAUCUGCAGGGCGAGAUGGGCGAGCUCUUGGCCGGCAAUGAGCAAGCCGCAGAGAUUCAGAUUGUUUCCUCUGUUUCUAUUAUUUCCCUGUAACGAUUCGCUUCGCUCACUUCCUGUAACGAGUCGCUUCUUUCGCUCCCUUGACCUGGGAGGGGCAGACAGGUCAUUUAGGCGAUUUUUGGUGGUUGUCGGAAAACUCUUUAACGCCAUAUACUAUUUCGGAACGGAGGGAGUAGUUCUGAAUGUAUAUUUGCAAUUCUGUUUUUGUUGGACA
Triticum urartu is the source of this 2311-nucleotide RNA transcript. RefSeq lists it as uncharacterized. Lineage: Eukaryota; Viridiplantae; Streptophyta; Magnoliopsida; Poales; Poaceae. The record is from RefSeq and is a predicted model, not a curated record.